Molecule: ribosomal RNA, 768 nt
Filed under: uncultured bacterium
Lineage: Bacteria
Description: bacterial SSU rRNA
Rfam family: Bacterial small subunit ribosomal RNA
Source: RNAcentral
GACGAACGCUGGCGGCGUGCCUAAUACAUGCAAGUCGAGCGAAGUUUUUCUGGUGCUUGCACUAGAAAAACUUAGCGGCGAACGGGUGAGUAACACGUAAAGAACCUGCCUCAUAGACUGGGACAACUAUUGGAAACGAUAGCUAAUACCGGAUAACAGCAUUAACUGCAUGGUUGAUGUUUAAAAGUUGGUUUUGCUAACACUAUGAGAUGGCUUUGCGGUGCAUUAGCUAGUUGGUGGGGUAAAGGCCUACCAAGGCGACGAUGCAUAGCCGACCUGAGAGGGUGAUCGGCCACACUGGGACUGAGACACGGCCCAGACUCCUACGGGAGGCAGCAGUAGGGAAUCUUCCGCAAUGGGCGAAAGCCUGACGGAGCAACGCCGCGUGAGUGAAGAAGGAUUUCGGUUCGUAAAGCUCUGUUGUUAGGGAAGAAUGAUUGUGUAGUAACUAUACACAGUAGAGACGGUACCUAACCAGAAAGCCACGGCUAACUACGUGCCAGCAGCCGCGGUAAUACGUAGGUGGCAAGCGUUGUCCGGAAUUAUUGGGCGUAAAGCGCGCGCAGGUGGUUUGAUAAGUCUGAUGUGAAAGCCCACGGCUCAACCGUGGAGGGUCAUUGGAAACUGUUAAACUUGAGUGCAGGAGAGAAAAGUGGAAUUCCUAGUGUAGCGGUGAAAUGCGUAGAGAUUAGGAGGAACACCAGUGGCGAAGGCGGCUUUUUGGCCUGUAACUGACACUGAGGCGCGAAAGCGUGGGGAGCAAACAGG